This 3688-nucleotide unclassified non-coding RNA is filed under the name Hevea brasiliensis (rubber tree). Lineage: Eukaryota; Viridiplantae; Streptophyta; Magnoliopsida; Malpighiales; Euphorbiaceae. The record is from RNAcentral.
CAAGCAUCAUCUAGUGCAGGAGUCAGGUUAAGAUGGUGAUAAACCAACUCAAUUCCUUAUUCUUAUCACGACACCAGAGGGGAAGAGCGGCUGUUAAAAAUCUCUUGCAGUCAUAGAUUCACAAAUCUGAUAUAUAUAAAAUAUAUGAAAAGAAGUAUGCACAUCCUUUUCAAUUACAUCGGCCUUGUAAACCUGCACCAUUUCUUCUCUGAUAAGAUCUCAAUACUGUCAAAUUCAGAGAGACCCCACUUCUCCAAUAUAAAUUAUAGCCUUGAAAAACUCCUGUAAAGUGCAAACUAUUACCCAUUAUUGCAUCUUGACUUGUUAUUUAAAUUUCAUCAAAUUCUAAAUCAAAUUAAGGACAACCCAAUUUUGUAUCUGUAAUUUAAGGAACUGGGUUGUUGUUUCUCGCUUUUUUUUUAAUAUAUAAAUUGAGGAUAACCCAAGUUUGUUUGCAGAAUCUGUAGGCUUGGUUGUGCUCUGUUUUUUAUUGGCAAGUUAAUUAUUUGCACGGAUAAGAUUUUUCUCUGAAAAAUCAAAAGCUCUCCUCUGUUUUUUUAAUUUUUUGAAGGCGACACAAGCUUUACCAGAGGCCUCAAAUUUAAUGGUAUUGGAUUGUGGAAGCCCCAAGGAGACGCACAAAGACUAGGUUCUGUGGUAAGUUUUUAUGGGUAUAAAAUAAUGCGAUUUUGUUUGUUCUAUUUUAGCGAUUACACACUUUACAGAGACACGGAGGGAGAGAGAAAAAGACAGAGAGGGCGACAGAAAGAGUUGCCGAUACGUAUGACACGUAUAAUUUGUCUUCUAUUAUGACAAAUGUGUUGGGAUCCGUAAGAAUUUGUUUUUGUUCUUUUUGUUACCUUGGUAUCACUAGGAUCUAAUCUUUUCUGAGUUUGAAAAUGGUGCUCGCCUUGGUUAAUCUGUUGUAGAUGGGUAUAUUUCUUUGUAAUUAAUUUUACAAUUUUUUUAGAUAAUGGGUAUAUAUUUUUUUUUUCUAAAUUAGGAUUAUGGGUAGGAUUAGUUGAGUCUGAUAGAUGCCUUCUUCCUGCGUAGAACCAGAUGGAAACCAGUUCUGGACAGAGACCAUUUUUUGCGGUGCUAGAUAUCAAUCAUUUUGAUUUUUUAUAGGUGUAUUUUUUAUAUUCAUAUUGGGAGGUUCUGCCAGUUUUUGGGUUCCAACGAUUGGAUAUUUAUAGUUUUGUGCUUUUCUUCAGUUCGUUUUCUCAUCUUCUUAUUGCUUUAUCAUUUUGUUUCUGCUUCAGCUAUUAUAGUUUUCCUUCUUAACUCUCCCUGUCCUGACCUGUUUGCUGUUUGUUUCUUAGAUUUCAUCUAUGGUUCCUGCCGUUCUGUUCAAGCCCUUGUCUUGGGUUUCAUCUAUUGAGUAGUUCAACUUAGUUUCUGAAAUUUUCAAAUGGAUUUUGAGUGAGAAACAUUUCUUUCAAAAUUUUCCUUUUGCUGCCCAUUUCCAUGUAGCUUACUUUGCUUGAUCAACUGCAUAAAGUAAUUGGAUUGAAUCUUCUCCAUUUUUUUUCCUUGCAGUCUCCUUUGUUCACCUCUAUUGUUUAAACUUUAAAGCAGUUAUAUUGAAUCUUUUCAACCACAAUUCUUCAUCUUCUUCUGUCUCAGUGUAAUCAGCAGGUUUGUGGCUUCUUGUUCUUCAACUUUUUGAUGACCAAUUUAGAUUGCUUGAAUUAUUGUUAAUUCACUUUAUUGAUAUGGCUGCUGGUUAUUAUUCUCACAUGAGUUUUACCAGAAUGGAUUUCAUCCAGUUAGCAAGCAAGUCAAAGUGGAAGGAUUAGUUGAGGAGGAGGAGGUAUAUCUUUUGGGCCAUGGAGAAUUCCUAUGAAACAUGUAAAGGAAAUGGGCUGUUGGAUAACGGUCAUACAACUACAAGACACACUCCUUAUCAACCCAGCAUUAAGGUAUCAACACCUUGCCUUGAUUUAAGAGUGUUCUAUGUUCGUGUUAGCAAAUGUGAGAUUGAUGACUCAACUCCUGAGUUCCUUACAGUAAAUCACAUUCCAUUACACCCCGAUAUGCUUUUUGAAGUAAAUGGUAUUAGAAUUUCUGUCAACUCUGAUGGGCCAUCAAUCGUUCUUAGGAGGGAUAGGUUGGAUAAGAAGUCUGAAGAAGCUACAUUUGUUAGUACUGAUAGUAUAAGGAUUAAUGGGAGUGUGAAGUUUGAGGUUUUUGAUAAGGAUGUUCUCAUGUUAUCCGGCGUUCUUGAAAUGUGUAAUAGUAAUGGUCUUAUGGGGAAAUCAAGAGGCCAUGGCCAGAGAUGGAGCAUGAAUUGUGAAUCGGAUGUAACUGUAGGGACUAGCUUCCUGAAGGCAAAACAAUAUUUGGGUUCAGAUUCAGCUUUACCUACAGUUGAGGUCUAUGUUGCAGGAUCCUUCUCAGGCACUCCAAUUAUCUUAUCUAAGACUUUGCAGCUCUGUUUCUGUCAGAAGCAAAUAAGGAAAGGCAUGUUGGAUUAUAUACCAGAAUAUGAGGCAACUGAAGGCCUGGACUAUGUCUCAUCCAGAAUUCCUUUACAGGUAUUUCUUGAUUUAGUAUUGGAACUGCAAGCAAAACUAUCAUGCUUAUUGUUAAGAAUAUUUAAAAAAUUAUCAUAUAUUGUUCCUAAGAGAUUAAGAUUAAGAGAUUGUGUCUGAUUGGGACUUGGAAUCCUAUGAGUGUUAGGACAGUGAUCACGGCGACCAUCUCAGGAUCCUUAUCCAUAUAUAUAUGCUCGGACCCAAACUCGGGCAUUGCUACCCGUUACUCAUUCACUUGGUACUCGCCCAUAAGUAUCAUCUUUGUAGCUGUAGCAUCGCUAGCUAAUCCACUAGCUUCUUUUUGCUUGAGCAGUGUCUGCACUAUGGAUAUUAGAUACAGGAGAGAGAAACAGAGAGGGAGUCCAUAUGUUAAGAGAAAUACUACAUUAAAAAUGCACUGUAAGUGGGAUGUUGCUGUUUUUGUCCUGUUUUUUUACUAUAUAGAUGUUUUUAUAUAUAAGCUUCGUUUAGACUUAAGGAACCACAAACUAAAGAUCAAGGUCUUAUUUGGCUUUCUUAAAAGUUUCAUUGUAAAAUGUUGCAAGCAUUCUGCUUUAAUUUUAGUAUUAACAAUGCAGAUGUCAGAAUACUCGGAUCACAAGCCAGAAAAUGAAGAAGACAAUCACUUGUACUCAGGAACAGAAUAUCUAGAAGGUGAAGAUGGGGAACUCUCGUGGUUCAAUGCUGGUGUUCGAGUAGGUGUUGGCAUUGGCCUAAGCAUUUGUCUAGGAAUUGGGAUAGGCGUGGGGUUGCUGGUUCAAACCUGUCAAGGCACCAAACGCAACUUUAGAAGGCGGCUACUAUAAUUAAAGAUUUUCUUGACGCCAGUAUGGCAUUACACUUUAUAUUCUCCCACUUAUAAUGCUAAAGUUGACUCUUGGUGUUUGCAGCAAAUUAUGAUUUGUGAAUAAUGUCAUUAUCUAGAUGCAGGAAUGUGUAACUUUUAGCUAUUGCUGGUUAAGCGUCUCAUCUGAAAUAAAAGGCUACUUCUUUCGAACCAGUGUUUCAACCCUUGAUUGAGAGUCUCCCAUGAGUUCCAUAUGUUAGUGUAACAUGCUGUUUGCCUUACAUCAGUGUUAAGUUCUUUGAAUUUGUUUAUUGUAGUAAGAAGAGUGGCAAUAGCAAUGAAAUUUUGUUAAUGUUGUUAAAAA